CAGUGAUAUUUUUCAACGGCCGCGGGAAUCCUACACCGUGCAAAGGUAGCAUAAUCACUUGUCAUCUAAAUAAUGACUAGUAUGAAUGGCCCCAUGAGGACUUCCCUGUCUCUUGUAACCAAUCAAUGAAACUGAUCCCCCAGUACAAAAGCUGGGAUAAAAUCACAAGACGAAAAGACCCUGUGGAACUUACAAGUGCUAAUCAACAAAAUGACAUAACCACUUUUAGUUGGGGCAACUUUGGAACAAAACAAAACUUCCAAUUAUGAUACUCACCCUAACCCAAAACUAGAUCCACACAUCAACUUUUGACCAACAAUUGACCCAGUAUUACUGAUCAAAGAAACAAGCUACCCCAGGGAUAACAGCGCCAUCCCCUCUUAGAGCCCAAAUCGACGAGCGGGGCUUACGACCUCGAUGUUGGAUCAGGGCCCCCAAACAGUGCAGCAGCUGUUAAAGGUUUGUUUGUUCAACAAUUAAUGCCCUACGU
RNAcentral lists this ribosomal RNA (490 nucleotides) under Aspidoscelis motaguae. Its description in RNAcentral is "partial large subunit ribosomal RNA". It matches the Rfam family "Bacterial large subunit ribosomal RNA", at positions 1910 to 2601 of the family's 2925-position model. The record is from RNAcentral. Lineage: Eukaryota; Metazoa; Chordata; Lepidosauria; Squamata; Teiidae.